AUGGCGCGCCAGGCCCCGGCCGCUGGGCUGCGGGCCGUCGGCCGAGCGACGCGACACUCUCUCCGACCUCACUCGGGGCGCGCCGAUAAGCUUUGUUGCACCAUCUUGACGACGCUGCACUUCCACUGCGGCACUUCACUUCGCGUAUAAACACUUCGCGACUAGUGUUUUGUUACAUCGGUAGACUUUUCUUUGAAAAAUCAAUAUACAUUUUCCCAGAGUUUAGAUAUACGGACGAGUCGAUGUCCAGCGCAGGUUAGGGAUUGUUACUUCUUCGGAGGCACUUACUUCCCUUCACUAGAAUGGGUCGGCGAGCACGGUCUCAGCCACGAAGGAUUAACUUGAACUGACUUGUGAAGCCCAUUACGUAAUGCUUAACUUCAAUGAUUAAUCAAUGGUUUACUGAGGCAGCCGAUGUCUUCGGUCGUGUGAGGAAGCCGAAUUGAAUGAAGAAAAUGCGAUCCAGGGUUAAGUUGGAGGAGUUGAAUCUCACUUUAAACAUAAAAAGUGAAGAGAUCACACCUCCACUUAAUCUGUCACGCUUUUGUAUCACGCCGUACUGCUCCAACUGAAGAUUUUCCCGCGACCGCCGAAGCGUUGUGACGCGACUCCACGCGUGAGCUGGAAAGAUAGAUCUGGCAGCGAACCAUGAAACUGUCAAGAUCCCCUGUCCAACUCAGACAUGAAGCCAUUCUGCAGCCGAGACGAAUAUCGAACGCUGUAAAAUUAAUAAAACGUUAAUUUAAAGCAA
Molecule: long non-coding RNA, 751 nt
Organism: Bombyx mori (domestic silkworm)
Lineage: Eukaryota; Metazoa; Arthropoda; Insecta; Lepidoptera; Bombycidae
Exons: 3
Source: RefSeq, a predicted model, not a curated record